UACGGAGGGUGCAAGCGUUGUUCGGAAUUACUGGGCGUAAAGCGCGCGUAGGCGGUUUGUUAAGUCAGAUGUGAAAGCCCUCGGCUCAACCGGGGACGUGCAUUUGAAACUGGCAGACUUGAGUAUUGGAGGGGGUGGUGGAAUUCCCGGUGUAGAGGUGAAAUUCGUAGAUAUCGGGAGGAAUACCGGUGGCGAAGGCGGCUUUCCGGACCACUCCUGACGCUCAGAUGCGACAGCUAGGGGAGCAAACGGG
This 253-nucleotide ribosomal RNA is filed under the name uncultured bacterium. RNAcentral describes it as "partial 16S ribosomal RNA". It matches the Rfam family "Bacterial small subunit ribosomal RNA", at positions 524 to 776 of the family's 1533-position model. The record is from RNAcentral.